UACGGAGGGAGCUAGCGUUGUUCGGAAUUACUGGGCGUAAAGCGCGCGUAGGCGGCUUUGUAAGUUAGAGGUGAAAGCCCGGGGCUCAACUCCGGAACUGCCUUUAAGACUGCAUCGCUUGAAUCCGGGAGAGGCGAGUGGAAUUCCGAGUGUAGAGGUGAAAUUCGUAGAUAUUCGGAAGAACACCAGUGGCGAAGGCGGCCCACUGGACCGGUAUUGACGCUGAGGUGCGAAAGCGUGGGGAGCAAACAGG
RNAcentral lists this ribosomal RNA (253 nucleotides) under uncultured bacterium. RNAcentral's name for it is "partial 16S ribosomal RNA". It matches the Rfam family "Bacterial small subunit ribosomal RNA", at positions 524 to 776 of the family's 1533-position model. The record is from RNAcentral.